Dromaius novaehollandiae (emu) is the source of this 3362-nucleotide long non-coding RNA. RefSeq lists it as uncharacterized. The record is from RefSeq and is a predicted model, not a curated record. NCBI's taxonomy places the organism in Eukaryota, Metazoa, Chordata, Aves, Casuariiformes, Dromaiidae. The transcript is spliced from 3 exons.
ACCCGUUCCUGCCCUGUGGCUGCUGUUGCCUGUAUCUGCCUUAGCUUUGCUUUGGCUGUUUCUAUUUUGUGUUGUUACUGCACGCAGCUACGUGGAAAGGGAAAGACAGAACGAAUGCUCUCUUAGAUUAAUGGCCACGGCUGAGGUUGAAGAGAGUAAAAAACGUGAGCAAGCUGAAGUAAUAGAAUCCAAGGGAGCCAAGUGAAAGCUGUCUUCCUCUGCCAGAAAAAGGGAAAGCCCGUUCCUCCUGGCAAGGAAGGAGCGCCAUUAAUAGCGAUCCGAAUAAUAGAUCGCCAGCGUAUAACGGAAGGUCUGUAUGCAUUACGAGAAGUGCUCUGCGUACAUGUGUCUCCAUGUGUGUGACUUUACGUGCCUGUGAAGCGUCAUACUUCACGAGCUGCGAGACAGCAAAUUAUUAUUUUGGGGGAGUGGUGGUCAAGUGACCAGAGCUACUGAAGAGGAAGGGAGCGAGAGAAGGGUCUGAAGUGUAAAACUGAGAGAUCGAUUUCAGGAAGGCUCAAUCAGCGCAAGCCCCGGGUUAGUUACCUGGCAAUGGUAUUUGGGGAGACGGGAUGACAGUAGAUAGGUUGAAGCCUCAUGGAAUUAAGGCUCCUUCUCACCGGUUCCCGCUUAGAGCAAUUGUAGGAGGAUUUAGUUUCCUCCAGCAGCAUUAAGGUGGCUUUGCCGGUGUCAGCAGACCGCGGUGGAAAGUACUGGGAGGGAGUCGGGAAGGGAGCUGGGACGAGGAACGUGACUCUGCUUUCACUGAACUGGAAGAAGUGGCUAUAAAACCUCCUGCCCUCAAAUUCCCAGGACAAGGAAAGCCUUUUUCAGUAAUGCUUUCCACAUCUGCUGACUGCGUGGGAGCAGCACCGCUAGAAAACGGCAGUAAAGGAAAGCGGGUGCCGGUCGCCUCACCUGUACGUCCCCUUUGGGGCUGGAACAAAAAGUCUCUGGCUGUGAGAAAGACUGUUCAGCAGCGAUGUGGGCUGUAACCGUCUUUGAGACUUUUAGCUUUGAUCGCGCAGGGGCCAUCCAAUCUAUUCAGUUCCCUCUAAAGUAAUCACAUCAGGGAAAUAAAGAGACAGCGGAGUAUCAUCUAUCCGAGUGGCGCAGUGGGCGCUGAUCUUAACGAGCAGGGGCAGGGGGGCAGUUGCUGUGCAAGUGUUACAAGCAGUGGCUCUUCUUGUGCGCGUCUGAAUUGACUGAGGGGCAGAGCACGGUUGCGCCAAAAACGCGGACGCAGGAGGUUUCCGAGAGGUUGAUCUCUAGCGGCUACUUAGUCUGACUUCCCUUUCGCGGCAAGCCUGACUGUCUUCAUAGCUCUCAGAACAGGGGUUAGGGGAAGCGGUACUUGUGGCUUGCGUAUUCUUGUUUACCUUGCUUGAGUGUGUAUAUUGGAUCCGCUUUUGUGCUUAUAAACAACUUUGGAUUCUUAUGAUUUUCUGCAGAGCUUUGAUCUUUUUCUUUUUUUCUUUUUCUUCUUGGUUUGUUUUUUUUUUUUUUUGCUUUCCUCCCUCCCUGAUGGAUUUUACUAUGCCUCCGUCAACGAGCCCUGGCUGGCAAAGUUGCUGUGUCCCAGCGGAGACUCUUAGGCGAGAUGGAGGAGUUCAGAUCCGCAGCCUGCCAGAAGAACGUCGCCCAGGAGGGGUUGCUAGCCUCGAGCUAUAGGCACUGGUGCGUGUGGCUCGUUGUGUCAGACGCGAAGGGGUUUUCUUUGGCUGCGGAAAUUUUAGCUUGCCUUUACACCCUGUAGCAGUAGUAUUUUUGUUUUGAUAAACUGUGUUAAUCGUAGGCGUUCAGGACCUCGGGGAACGACUGUGUGCUGCCGUGAAGAACUACAGGCUACCACCGCUCUCGGACCUUUGUAAGUUAUCACGCAUCGAGAGCUUCCAGGAGAAUUCAAAUGCCAGCAGAAAGGUUCUCCGCCCGGUCCCGACGAGGAGGCUUCGGCCCCAGGAAGGUCGGCAGCGUCCUUACCGGACUCGCGGGAUGCUGUUCUGAGGGCCAGCAACUCGAAGGGAUGCAGCUCGGCCCUUUUUGUUGACUUUGGUGAUGCUGUUUUGAGGAAGCAUGUGCCGAAGCCCAGUCGGGCAGUCGAAGGAGCCUUGUCACAGCUGGGAGCUCUGCGGAGAUGCGCGGCUGGCCAUGGAGAGUGAGCUCUGACUUGCAGCGUGGACACAGCUAAGUCCUGGGCUGCAUCGUAUGUGAGCAGUGCUGGGAGGUGCGAGGUGAUUGUUCCCUAGGUGGUCACUGGUGUCACUGGCUGUGGAUGUUUGCCCAUGGAGCUGAGAGGACCAAAAAUAUUAAUUGUCUGACCCGGAGAUGAAUUAGUGCUUGCAGUGCUUCAGGUAGGUUCAGUGCAAGUGCAGCCUAGUGCAGUCCUGUGGAGUGAUUCUUGCACAUGCUCACAUUUGAAUGGUGGCUAAAACCAAGCCUCUAAACAGCAGCUGUAACGUGAUUCUGGUGCAUGUCUUCCCGUUCUGCUGUGCUUCUAGAGGAAGGGAAAACUUCUUAAGCUGUGGGCAAAACUCCUUGCCUUCUCUUUACUGUUUUCAUGUGUAUGGGUGCUUUGGUGUUUGUUGCUUAAAGCUGAGGGUUUGGAAUUUUUCACUUAAGGUUUAUUGUUUAGUUUGUUGUUGAGGGUCUCUCACUCCGGAGUUACAGUUUAUUCCUUUCUUUUGUGGGGCUCAGUCUUUAUCAGUCAGGGUUUACAGUUUGCUCGUUUAGUGAUCAGGGCGCAGAAUUUAAAAUCCAACCUUAGCCAUAAAUUUUAAAGUCUCGGCAACUAUUAGGGUUCCAAGACCUGCAGUUAGUGUUCAGGGCUUAUGACUUACUGAUAAAGGAAAAGGGCUAAAUCCUUAGAUAAACUGUAAGCCCUGAAGCCUAAGCAGCAGGCUGCAAACCCUUCUUUGGGCUUUGUAACCUUCCCCUGUACCCAGCGUUCAGCUCUGCACACCGACCUGCGCUCUGGAUUUGAUAUGGCGCAGGCCCAUCACACGGAGACUGGCAAUGUGACAGGUGAGCUGAGAGCUGUGGAAGUGUCUUGCAGGGCUCUAGCCUGGGGUAGGGCAGAAGUGCAGACAGGCAAGAUCAGGCAUUUUCCUCUCAUCUCUGAGAUGAAUCCUAUCCCUGAAGGAAAAAGCAGAGGAGUAGGCUGUCAGCUACUCGGACACCUGCCACAUCAAGGGCAGCAGCAGGAGAUGACCCUUCCCUGAUGGAUGGAUGGACGCUGGUGUAGUGAUGACUCUUCAGGCAUCACAGGUAAGGGGAAGCAUGCUGACACUGAGCUCCAUGGCAGACUUGCUUCCAGCUAUUGUUUCUGCGCAGUAAAACAAUAAACAGUUGCUUUAUUCUUUGCA